CUCUCUCUCUAUUAUUUUCUCACUCGCCGAUUUCUCUUAUUGGUGAUUCCAACUGAGGUGCUUUUGUUUAUGUGUGCUCUGGAUUUUAUUUCGUUUAAAUAAGGGCUUUUAUUAUUUGUGUGUCUGUGAAAUUCUGGAAAGCUUUGGGUAUUCCUAGUGCUUCUAAAGCUUUGGAUACUGCCAAAUUGUCGUUUUCUGUGUUCAAUUAUACUAAACUCAGGAGACUAGGGAUGCUGUCAUGUGCUUUAUAGUUAGCUUUAAGUUCAUUUCAUUUACACACUCUUUUUUCCGGUAUAGUUAGAACUUAGAAUUCAGAUUUCCUGUUACCAUAUUUUCCUGCUACUAUUUGAAUUUAGUAAACUAACCUAUGGCUCCAAACAGCGAGCCAUCAACUCCACAGCUCAUAUCAGUGCAGUGCAGAACCCUCUGGCCCAUCUCUCCGACCUUUUAGCGAGUUACCCACACUUGAUACUUUGUGUAAGCAGCCCUUCUCUGCGGGAAGUCAUCAUUAGCCAACAAUGACAUUGCCGCUUUCCCAUUUAUUAGCCAGUAGCUCACCUGGUUCCCGAUCUUCGUCUUGAUGUUGGGAUUCAUGUAAAUGUCCACCGGCUCCAAUCCUACUUCAAACCUUCCUUUUCCUUCUCUUUUCACAGUUUCCUUAACCAGUGUUGUUAGGGUCGCGGGGCGCCCCGGGGCGAUGAGGGGGGACCCCGGGUCGCGGGGCGAUGGGGCGACGGGGCGAGAGACCCACGAAUCGGGGCGCCAGAAUAGCCGAAUGAAAAUUAUAUUUGUGUCUCUUUUAUAAGUUUGUUGCUUGAAUGUUUAUCACAUCAAAUAAAUCUACAUGCAUCAUUACUCCAUAUUAAAAAGAGAAGAUUAGACGAAAAAAUAUAAAUUUUUAAACAACAUAACUAAAUAACUAAAUUUUAUUAUAAAAAAUCAUCAAAGUUCCAAAAAAAGUUGCAAAAUAUAAAAUAAUUAAGUAAAUAGUAUGUGUAGGAUUUUAUGAUCUUAUCAUUCAAGAUAAUUUGGAUUUAAAUUUAUUUAUUUUUUGUUUGAUGUAUUAGAUCAGGGCAAUUUUUAUAAAGAGGAUAUAAUUUGUGUGUCAAGUUAUAUCUAUGAUGAGCCUCAAAUUAACUAUAGUAUUAAAAUAUUUAGUUAUCUUUUAUUUAAUCAUUUCAUUUUAAUAGAAUUAAAAAAUUGAAGAGAAGAAGUAAGCUAUGACUUAUUUCAUUUUAAUAGAAUUAAAAAAUUGAUAAGGCCACGUGCAUUGCUCACUACUAUUCAACUAAGUGGCGAAUUUAUUUUAUGAUAAGGCCACGUGCAAUAGCUCACUUCCCAAAGCAUACCUACCCCUCUUCUCCCCUUCCAUUAACACAAAUUCUGCAAUUCCCAAUUUAAACCUAAAAAUGGAGCACCCAUUUUCCCGACGACCACCACGAAUCGGGGCGACCCAGACGCCCCAGGCGCGCCCCACCGUUGCUCCACGGAUCUCGCACGACCCCGCCGCAUCAGGGCGAUGUCGGUCUCGACCCUUGCGACCCGCGACCCAAGCGCGCUCGGGGCGCGAUUUUAACAACACUGUCCUUAACAAGUGUCUAUUAACUCUUCCUAGGCGAUUUCUCUACUGCCUUUGUCCGUUUCCUUUAUAGCUCCGACUUAACUAGUGAGUUAGCUUCACCAUCAAUGUGUAAGUCUAGAUAAUGUGUUCUGAAGUGAUCAUGGUUGUUUCCUACCAAGUUUUCUGCUACCAAGUUGUCGUACAUAUCUCUGGUCAUUUCCUCACUAUUUCUGUAUUUUGUAGCCUCCCAUUCCUGCAGUGAAGUUUCAUCUUCAGUAAAUGGCAUUAUACUAGAAUGUUGCAAUACUUUCUCUUAUGUUAUCAAUCCUUCUCUUUGUUAUAUCAUUUUUUGAUUUGUUUUCAAAAACUUCAAUUGUAAAACAGUCUAGAAAUACUAAAUGAUCUUGCAUUGAAAUACCUUGCAGCCACUAUCUGAUGCUUAUAGAUCUGGCCAUCCUGGUAUAUGUUAAAUACUCCAGAGAAUUGGUGGAACUGUACACUACAGUUCUUGUCAACAUAGUGAGCUAUGAUCUUAAUAGCCCUUCCCAUGUUAUGUGAUGAAAAUCUAGUUAGUAAUUGUGCUAAUUGACUCUGCUAAAAUUUCUAAAAUUUCUUGCAGUGUGAGCUUAGUGCAUAGUAGUCCAUGAAGUAUCUCACUUCUACUUGCUUGUUACCGAAUUUGAUUGAUUCUCAAAGUCCAUGUUUGGAGAUUGAUUCAGCCAAGGUUGACUGGAAUGGGAAGACUCUUAUUGGUGAAGUCAUUUCUCUUACCUUAUAGUUGAUUCAACCUCCUGAGCUAUGAAGAGCUGCGAGAGCUCAAGCACAAGAUCGAGCUCUCGCUAAAUAAAGUCUGAGCUCGAAAAGUGAAACUGAAUACUAUUUCUCUUCCACAUCACUUAUAAUUAUAAAUAUCCAUCUUAUUAACCAAUUAUUAGUUCUUAUUUUAGUUUCAGCUUAUUCAAGAGCAAGUCGAGAAUCUCAAGAGGAUGGAAGGGGGCUGAUGGAGAAGGUGAAUCAAGAAAUGUACCACUGGGAAUUUGCAUACGUGAGAGACAUACCAACAGUCAUGGUGACCUAACUUGUCCCUAUAAGAAUAACCAGAAAUUGAGGUGUUGGAGCCUUAAAGGGAAAACAAACAGGAAAUUAUAGUGAAAAGCAUGCAAAGAAAACAGUAAAUAUAUAAAGUUUUAGUUGUUGUGCACUGCAACUGCAAGAGAUCAAUCACGAGAUCGUUGUUCUGGCGACUUAAUUGCAUAUAUGGUAUUUAUUCAUAAGGUAAACUGUUGGUUUGAUGUUACUUGUGUUAAUUGCAUUUGUGAAAACAAGAGUUGAUACCUAUGAUACCCAGAACUUCUUCUUGGUUAUGUUUGUGUUUCAUUGAUCAUGUAGUGAUUGUAAAUUGUUAUAGUGGCUAUAUUUGCUAAAGAAAUUUCAGUCAGCAUCUUCCAGUUUUCAUUUCUUUUGUUCCAGUGUACAAUUCCCAUAACCUAUGAACGAGGACUUUGGAAUCCAUCAUGAUUGGUGUGAAUCGUUCAGCACACCUAUGAUCUCCUACCUGCAGAUCAUCUUUUCUCAUGACCCGAAGUGGCUCGGAAAAAUUACAUUGGAAACUUACAUCUAGUUUCAUAUAUGGCUGAGUCAGCUAUUAUAAUAUGAAUUCUUCUCAAAGAUGGAAAAUUAUUUGCAAUGAUGCAAGAGAUGGUGAAGCAACUCAUGAUGUCCUCAAGUCAAGUCACACUUUUGAUGGUUCUCUGCUGUGGUGGGAACACAGCAGGCGGUGCUUUCUCGGUGUUCAAACUUUAAUCUAUCCAUUCCAAAUAGCUUCCAGCUCACGCUUCCGGCAUGCUCUCACCAAUCCAUAAUACUACUAACCAAUAUUUUAGUGAUUUAUGUUGAAUAAUGAUUAGAUUAAAUUAAAUAAUGAUUAAUUAAUAAUCACUCCGUUCUAUAAGUAUAUGCUUUUUCCAUUUCCAUCCGUUUCACAAAUUUAUAUGUAUUCCAUUUUUGUAAAGUUAUCUCAAUUAAUUACUCGUAUGCAUUAACUUUUUUACAACUUAUACCACAAUUAAACACUACUAUAA
This is a long non-coding RNA of Salvia splendens (bonfire salvia), 3642 nucleotides long. RefSeq lists it as uncharacterized. The record is from RefSeq and is a predicted model, not a curated record. The transcript has 8 exons. NCBI's taxonomy places the organism in Eukaryota, Viridiplantae, Streptophyta, Magnoliopsida, Lamiales, Lamiaceae.